AUGGAUGAACUUUUGUUCAUCUUCAGAACACAAAUUAAGAUAUUUUUGAUCACAUCCGAUGGCUGAAUGAGGCCUCCAUUGACAGCAAUAAUAUUUUUGGUGCGCCAAAAAAACAAAAUAACGACUUAUAUAGUGAUGGACGAUUUCAAAACACUGCUUCAGAAAGCAUCAGAGCGUUUAUGAAUCAGUGUGUCGAAUCAUAAUUUGGAUCACGUUUCAAACUGCUGAAAUCACAUGACUUUGUGCUCCGAACUGCUGAUUCGACACGCUGAUUCGUUGCUGGCAAUGGAGGCCUCAUUGAGCCAUCGGAUGUAAUCGAAAAUGUCCUCAUUUGUAUUCUGAAUAUGAACGAAGGUCUUACGGGUGAGUAAUAAAUGACAUUAUUUUUGGGUGAACUAACCCUUUAACACUGUUUAUCAGACUUGUCAGAGACUCCAGGAUGAGACUGCAAGGCUAGCUGAACUAAAAACAGAGCUACAUUGCACAGAUGAAUUGGUGUCACAGUGACUCUCUGAUGUGAAGGAAUGGGCAGCUGAUGAGACACUAGAUACAUCUCAUGCCAGCAGCACACACAGAGGACUUCAGCAGUCAAUUGAGGGGCUUUAUCUUAGUGUGAGGCAGCGGAAGCAAACCAUUUACUGCCAGAAUGACAGCAGCAAGCUUCGCCACCGCCCUCACAGGAAGCUGGCAGAAGACAAAAAGCUCCUUCUUCAGGAGACACAGAAAAAAAAUGGUCUUGCAUUAGACUCUGCCACAAACAUUGAUGUCUCUGCUGUGGAGCAUUCCCUUACUGGAGAGAGCAGUGUGUCACAAAUAUGGCCGUGGGAGGUUCAUGGCAGUGCAAACAUUUCAACCAAGUAACAAUUGCAUGACCAAGUGAUGUUGACAAUGCGACUGCACGAGGAGAAAAGCAUUUUGGUGUUGGAGAUGGCACAACACUGCACAUGGUUGCAGAGCCUGACAGUGGUUCUCAAGAACAAGAUGGCUGAGGAGGAUGAAGACAAGGAAAAUGAGGGACUUUGCUGUCUCUUAAGAAGAAGACUGUCAGAGGUGUCAGAACGGGUGCAAGUGGUCCUCCAACAGUACAAGACUGCUUUACUGUAG
Molecule: long non-coding RNA, 1104 nt
Organism: Cyprinus carpio (common carp)
Lineage: Eukaryota; Metazoa; Chordata; Actinopteri; Cypriniformes; Cyprinidae
Source: Ensembl